UCUCCUAUGGCGCAAUCGGUGGCGCGUCUGACUGUUAGGCAUGCUUUGUCAUGCACACACAAAUUUGCAAUCAGAAGGUUGUUAGUUCGAUCCUAACUGGGAGAG
This 105-nucleotide transfer RNA is filed under the name Ceratobasidium sp. AG-Ba. It matches the Rfam family "tRNA". From Rfam's summary of the family: Transfer RNA (tRNA) molecules are approximately 80 nucleotides in length. Lineage: Eukaryota; Fungi; Basidiomycota; Agaricomycetes; Cantharellales; Ceratobasidiaceae. The record is from Rfam by way of RNAcentral.